ACCCCAUUCCUUGCUGCAAUGUAAUUAUAUUUAAUUACAAGUGUGCCCCUGGUAGUCUUUAACUGAAGGGCACUGACUGGGUCACUGGUGAAGUUCCCCGCAGGAACUGAGUCAGACCCCAUCUCAGGGCCCUGCACAAGAUAGGUGCCUGCUCUAAGGCGUGGACCCUCGCCACAGCCCUGGCCCGUCUUGACGGGCGAGGGUUACUGUACUUGUCCCAACCGUACAGAUGAGAAAGCUGAGACUCAGGGCCAGCAACCCGGGUCCCAGCGGAGCGCCCGGCACACGCCGACACUUCAGCACCAGUGGCGGUGGCCACCACUGUGGGCGGAGAUGGCUGCGACGCGUGCGCAGGUAAAGUCUAUGCGCGCCUUGCCUCCCACCGGCGCCUUCCCCGGCCUCUGGUUUUUGUCCCCGCCAGCGGCUCCGACUCCAUCGCGUCCUCUUCCAGUCUAGUGCUUUUUUCCAGAUCUCGAUCCCAAACUCCCUCCUGCCAGAAUCUGGACCCGAAUCCACCCAUUGCCCGUUUUCCGCUGCCGCUGGAGAGAAUCUCUGAGGUCCCCAGGAGAGCCUGCCUGCACGGAAGAGACGCCUCCUCGAUUAAAUGCUGUUUUCCAUGACCGUCUCUGUUCUUCCCAUACGGGAAUGGCAGGCAUUCAGAUCUCCAAGAAUAGAGGAUUAGGAGAGACUCCACCACCUAUGUCCUCACAGUUAAUUAUCGAUUUGUGUCAGUUGCCCAUUUUCUCACUUCCUGUUUGUGUGUCAAGGGGUAUUAAUAAAUCUUUGCCUAUUUAAAGAUAUUAGCCUUGGAUUUUCAAAUAUUGCAUAUUUUGACAUGUAAAAAUUUGUUAGUUUUAUUUUUUCAACCGAUCUGACCUGUAUAGUUGGGCUUGAGGAAGCUUCCUCAUUCUACAUGUUACUAUGGAUUUUCUAAUAUUAACACAGGGUUGUAUUUUUUCCAUAUAACUUUCUAUUGAAUUUCUUUUUCCAUAUGAUAGGUGGUGAAGGUUUAGCCCAGUAAAGCAGAGAGGUUAAGAGGUUAGAUUGGGGGCUCUGGAGCCAGACCUGUGUAGAUCUGAGUCGUGGCUCUGGCACUUGAAAGCCGUGUGACCUUGGUUAAGAUACUUAGUCCCUCUCUGCCAAAUGGAGAAAUAAGGGCACCUACCCCAUAGGGUAGUUGUGUGAUUACACAAGUUAAUACACUUCAAUCAGUAGCAAGAAAGUGAAUGUCAAGCUGUAUUUGUUCAGGCAGCCAUAUGGUAGCCCCACGUCCUUAGUAAACUGAGGUAUUGAAGUAUCUUCUUUUUCUUUCAGAAAAUAUUUGUCAAGCACCUUCUGUGUUCAAAGAACUGUUCUAGAGCUUUGCAUGCUAUGGAGGUCUAGAAAUUCACAUUAUGGUGGCAGGUGACAGACAAUACAAAGAGAUAAAGCAAUUUCAUAUAGUGAUAAGCUAGGGAGGAGUGCUAAAAGGAGCCAAGGUGUAGUGGUGACUGGAAGGUGACCAGGGAAACCACUGUAGGGUUUCUAAGUGAUGAGAUCUGUGACAAAUCCCUGUGGUCAGCAGCAGGCAUUGGAUAUGUAACUUUAUUCUGUCCCAUUGAUCUUGUAGUCAACCCUGGUCUGUUCUGUAUUGUUUUAAUUACAUAAUCUUUGUAAUAAUCUUUAAUACCUGGU
This is a long non-coding RNA of Homo sapiens (human), 1674 nucleotides long. Ensembl annotates it as glioblastoma down-regulated RNA. Its record names the gene GLIDR. Lineage: Eukaryota; Metazoa; Chordata; Mammalia; Primates; Hominidae. The record is from Ensembl.